AUGAACGCUAGCUACAGGCUUAACACAUGCCCGUCGAGGGGCAGCAUGGCCUAUCUUUCGGGAUAGGCUGAUGGCGACCGGCGCACGGGUGAGUAACGCGUAUCCAACCUUCCCUUUACUGGGGUUCAGCCCGUCGAAAGGCGGAUUAAUCCCCCAUGUUCUCCGUCCCGGACAUCUGUGUCGGAGCAAAGAUUUAUCGGUAAAGGAUGGGGAUGCGUCCGAUUAGCUUGUUGGCGGGGUAACGGCCCACCAAGGCAUCGAUCGGUAGGGGUUCUGAGAGGAAGGUCCCCCACACUGGAACUGAGACACGGUCCAGACUCCUACGGGAGGCAGCAGUGAGGAAUAUUGGUCAAUGGCCGCAAGGCUGAACCAGCCAAGUAGCGUGAGGGAAGACUGCCCUAUGGGUUGUAAACCUCUUUUAUGCGGGGAUAAAGGCGUCCCACGUGUGGAUGUUUGCAGGUACCGCAUGAAUAAAGACCGGUUAAUUCCGUGCCCGCAGCCGCGGUAAUACGGAAAGGUCCGGGCGUUAUCCCGGUUUUAUUGGGUUAAAAGGGAGCGUAGGCCGGUCUUUAAACCGUGCCGUUGAAAUUUUGUGGCUCAACCAUGAGAGUGGGGCGCGAACUGGAGCCCUUGAGUGCGCGGAAGGCAGGCGGAAUUCGUGGUGUAGCGGUGAAAUGCUUAGAUAUCACGAAGAACCCCGAUUGCGAAGGCAGCCUGCCGCAGCGUUACUGACGCUGAAGCUCGAAAGCGCGGGUAUCGAACAGGAUUAGAUACCCUGGUAGUCCGCGCGGUAAACGAUGGAUGCCCGCUGUCGGCGAUAUACAGUCGGCGGCCAAGCGAAAGCGUUAAGCAUCCCACCUGGGGAGUACGCCGGCAACGGUGAAACUCAAAGGAAUUGACGGGGGCCCGCACAAGCGGAGGAACAUGUGGUUUAAUUCGAUGAUACGCGAGGAACCUUACCCGGGCUUGAAUUGCAGAGGAAAGAUCCAGAGAUGGUGAUGCCCUUCGGGGUCUCUGUGAAGGUGCUGCAUGGUUGUCGUCAGCUCGUGCCGUGAGGUGUCGGCUUAAGUGCCAUAACGAGCGCAACCCCUUUCCCUAGUUGCCAUCGGUUUUGGCCGGGCACUCUGGGGACACUGCCUCCGCAAGGAGUGAGGAAGGUGGGGAUGACGUCAAAUCAGCACGGCCCUUACGUCCGGGGCUACACACGUGUUACAAUGGGUGAUACAGAGGGCCGGCCGCUGGCAACAUCGGUCCAAUCCUUAAAGUCAUCCUCAGUUCGGACUGGGGUCUGCAACCCGACCCCACGAAGCUGGAUUCAAUAGUAAUCGCGCAUCAGCCAUGGCGCGGUGAAU
Molecule: ribosomal RNA, 1352 nt
Filed under: uncultured bacterium
Lineage: Bacteria
Description: bacterial SSU rRNA
Rfam family: Bacterial small subunit ribosomal RNA
Source: RNAcentral